This 73-nucleotide transfer RNA is filed under the name Pseudonocardia charpentierae. RNAcentral describes it as "Pseudonocardia sp. DSM 45834 tRNA-Cys". It matches the Rfam family "tRNA". Rfam says of the family: Transfer RNA (tRNA) molecules are approximately 80 nucleotides in length. Their secondary structure includes four short double-helical elements and three loops (D, anti-codon, and T loops). The record is from RNAcentral. Lineage: Bacteria; Bacillati; Actinomycetota; Actinomycetes; Pseudonocardiales; Pseudonocardiaceae.
GGUCAAGGCCGGGUUGACAGUGGACUGCAAAUCCGUCGCGAAAGCUGCAGAGGUUCGAAUCCUCUACCCGCCA